Molecule: ribosomal RNA, 544 nt
Filed under: uncultured bacterium
Lineage: Bacteria
Description: bacterial SSU rRNA
Rfam family: Bacterial small subunit ribosomal RNA
Source: RNAcentral
AUGCAAGUCGAGCGGAUGUAGCAAUACAUCAGCGGCAGACGGGUGAGUAACACGUGGGAACGUACCUUUUGGUUCGGAACAACACAGGGAAACUUGUGCUAAUACCGGAUAAGCCCUUACGGGGAAAGAUUUAUCGCCGAAAGAUCGGCCCGCGUCUGAUUAGCUAGUUGGUGAGGUAACGGCUCACCAAGGCGACGAUCAGUAGCUGGUCUGAGAGGAUGAUCAGCCACAUUGGGACUGAGACACGGCCCAAACUCCUACGGGAGGCAGCAGUGGGGAAUAUUGGACAAUGGGCGCAAGCCUGAUCCAGCCAUGCCGCGUGAGUGAUGAAGGCCCUAGGGUUGUAAAGCUCUUUUGUGCGGGAAGAUAAUGACGGUACCGCAAGAAUAAGCCCCGGCUAACUUCGUGCCAGCAGCCGCGGUAAUACGAAGGGGGCUAGCGUUGCUCGGAAUCACUGGGCGUAAAGGGUGCGUANGCGGGUCUUUAAGUCAGGGGUGAAAUCCUGGAGCUCAACUCCAGAACUGCCUUUGAUACUGAAGAUCUU